GAUGAACGCUGGCGGCGUGCCUAAUACAUGCAAGUCGAGCGAACGGACGAGAAGCUUGCUUCCCUGAUGUUAGCGGCGGACGGGUGAGUAACACGUGGAUAACCUACCUAUAAGACUGGGAUAACUUCGGGAAACCGGAGCUAAUACCGGAUAAUAUUUUGAACCGCAUGGUUCAAAAGUGAAAGACGGUCUUGCUGUCACUUAUAGAUGGAUCCGCGCUGCAUUAGCUAGUUGGUAAGGUAACGGCUUACCAAGGCAACGAUGCACAGCCGACCUGAGAGGGUGAUCGGCCACACUGGAACUGAGACACGGUCCAGACUCCUACGGGAGGCAGCAGUAGGGAAUCUUCCGCAAAGGGCGAAAGCCUGACGGAGCAACGCCGCGUGAGUGAUGAAGGUCUUCGGAUCGUAAAACUCUGUUAUUAGGGAAGAACAUAUGUGUAAGUAACUGUGCACAUCUUGACGGUACCUAAUCAGAAAGCCACGGCUAACUACGUG
RNAcentral lists this ribosomal RNA (497 nucleotides) under uncultured bacterium. Its description in RNAcentral is "partial 16S ribosomal RNA". It matches the Rfam family "Bacterial small subunit ribosomal RNA", at positions 28 to 507 of the family's 1533-position model. The record is from RNAcentral.